GACGUAGGGGGCAAGCGUUGUCCGGAAUCAUUGGGCGUAAAGCGCUCGUAGGCGGCCAACUAAGUCGGAUGUGAAAUCCCCAGGCUUAACUUGGGAACUGCAUCCGAUACUGGAUGGCUUGAAUCCGGGAGAGGGAUGCGGAAUUCCAGGUGUAGCGGUGAAAUGCGUAGAUAUCUGGAGGAACACCGGUGGCGAAGGCGGCAUCCUGGACCGGCAUUGACGCUGAUGAGCGAAAGCCAGGGGAGCAAACGGG
RNAcentral lists this ribosomal RNA (253 nucleotides) under uncultured bacterium. Its description in RNAcentral is "partial 16S ribosomal RNA". It matches the Rfam family "Bacterial small subunit ribosomal RNA", at positions 524 to 776 of the family's 1533-position model. The record is from RNAcentral.